GGGGCUGUAGCUCAGUGGUAGAGCACUUGCCUUGCAUGCAGGAGACCUGGGUUUGAUCCCCAGCACCA
This 68-nucleotide transfer RNA is filed under the name Ictidomys tridecemlineatus (thirteen-lined ground squirrel). Its description in RNAcentral is "Spermophilus tridecemlineatus (thirteen-lined ground squirrel) tRNA". It matches the Rfam family "tRNA". From Rfam's summary of the family: Transfer RNA (tRNA) molecules are approximately 80 nucleotides in length. Their secondary structure includes four short double-helical elements and three loops (D, anti-codon, and T loops). Further hydrogen bonds mediate the characteristic L-shaped molecular structure. tRNAs have two regions of fundamental functional importance: the anti-codon, which is responsible for specific mRNA codon recognition, and the 3' end, to which the tRNAs corresponding amino acid is attached (by aminoacyl-tRNA synthetases). tRNAs cope with the degeneracy of the genetic code in two manners: having more than one tRNA (with a specific anti-codon) for a particular amino acid; and 'wobble' base-pairing, i.e. permitting non-standard base-pairing at the 3rd anti-codon position. The record is from Rfam by way of RNAcentral. Lineage: Eukaryota; Metazoa; Chordata; Mammalia; Rodentia; Sciuridae.